UGACGGUACCUGACGAGAAAGCCACGGCUAACUACGUGCCAGCAGCCGCGGUAAUACGUAGGUGGCAAGCGUUGUCCGGAUUUAUUGGGCGUAAAGCGCGCGCAGGCGGCUAUGUAAGUCUGGUGUUAAAGCCCGGGGCUCAACCCCGGUUCGCAUCGGAAACUGUGUAGCUUGAGUGCAGAAGAGGAAAGCGGUAUUCCACGUGUAGCGGUGAAAUGCGUAGAGAUGUGGAGGAACACCAGUGGCGAAGGCGGCUUUCUGGUCUGUAACGACGCUGAGCGCGAAAGCGGGGAGCAAACAGGAUUAGAUACCCUGGUAGUCCACGCCGUAAACGAUGAGUGCUAGGUGUUGGGGGUUUCAAUACCCUCAGUGCCGACCGCUCUGGAGACAGAGCUUCCCUUCGGGGCAGCGGUGACAGGUGGUGCAUGGUUGUCGUCAGCUCGUGUCGUGAGAUGUUGGGUUAAGUCCCGCAACGAGCGCAACCCUUAUCUUUAGUUGCC
This 500-nucleotide ribosomal RNA is filed under the name Brevibacillus sp. HP-R2. Its description in RNAcentral is "bacterial SSU rRNA". It matches the Rfam family "Bacterial small subunit ribosomal RNA", at positions 470 to 1119 of the family's 1533-position model. The record is from RNAcentral. Lineage: Bacteria; Bacillati; Bacillota; Bacilli; Caryophanales; Paenibacillaceae.